This 494-nucleotide ribosomal RNA is filed under the name uncultured bacterium. RNAcentral's name for it is "partial 16S ribosomal RNA". It matches the Rfam family "Bacterial small subunit ribosomal RNA", at positions 30 to 507 of the family's 1533-position model. The record is from RNAcentral.
AUUGAACGCUGGCGGCAUGCUUUACACAUGCAAGUCGAACGGCAGCGGGGAGGAGCUUGCUUCUCUGCCGGCGAGUGGCGAACGGGUGAGUAAUACAUCGGAACGUGUCGAGAAGAGGGGGAUAACCACCCGAAAGGGUGGCCAAUACCGCAUAAAUUCUGAGGAAGAAAGCUGGGGACCUAGGAAUAGGCCUAGCGCUUUUUGAGCGGCCGAUGUCGGAUUAGCUAGUUGGUGAGGUAAAGGCUCACCAAGGCGAAGAUCUGUAGCGGGUCUGAGAGGAUGAUCCGCCACACUGGGACUGAGACACGGCCCAGACUCCUACGGGAGGCAGCAGUGGGGAAUUUUGGACAAUGGGGGCAACCCUGAUCCAGCCAUGCCGCGUGUAUGAAGAAGGCCUUAGGGUUGUAAAGUACUUUUGUUAGGGAAGAAAAGUCAGCUGUGAAUAAUGGCUGAUACUGACGGUACCUAAAGAAUAAGCACCGGCUAACUACGUG